AGUGGAUCCUGAGUACGGCGGAACACGUGAAAUUCCGUCGGAAUCCGGGAGGACCAUCUCCCAAGGCUAAAUACUCCCUAGUGACCGAUAGUGAACCAGUACCGUGAGGGAAAGGUGAAAAGCACCCCGGAAGGGGAGUGAAACAGUUCCUGAAACCGUGUGCCUACAAGUAGUUAGAGCCCGUUAAUGGGUGAUAGCGUGCCUUUUGUAGAAUGAACCGGCGAGUUACGAUUUGUUGCAAGGUUAAGCGGAAAAAGCGGAGCCGUAGCGAAAGCGAGUCUGAAUAGGGCGCAUAAGUAACAGGUCGUAGACCCGAAACCAGGUGAUCUACCCAUGUCCAGGAUGAAGGUAAGGUAAUACUUACUGGAGGUCCGAACCCACGCACGUUGAAAAGUGCGGGGAUGAGGUGUGGGUAGCGGAGAAAUUCCAAUCGAACUUGGAGAUAGCUGGUUCUCUCCGAAAUAGCUUUAGGGCUAGCCUCGAGGUAAAGAGUCAUGGAGGUAGAGCACUGUUUGGACUAGGGGCCCUUCUCGGGUUACCGAAUUCAGAUAAACUCCGAAUGCCAUGUACUUAUACUCGGGAGUCAGACUGCGAGUGAUAAGAUCCGUAGUCGAAAGGGAAACAGCCCAGACCACCAGUUAAGGUCCCCAAAUAUA
Molecule: ribosomal RNA, 656 nt
Filed under: Listeria monocytogenes
Lineage: Bacteria; Bacillati; Bacillota; Bacilli; Caryophanales; Listeriaceae
Description: partial 23S ribosomal RNA
Rfam family: Bacterial large subunit ribosomal RNA
Source: RNAcentral